Molecule: ribosomal RNA, 460 nt
Filed under: uncultured bacterium
Lineage: Bacteria
Description: partial 16S ribosomal RNA
Rfam family: Bacterial small subunit ribosomal RNA
Source: RNAcentral
CCUACGGGAGGCAGCAGUGAGGAAUAUUGGUCAAUGGGCGUAAGCCUGAACCAGCCAAGUCGCGUGAGGGAUGAAGGUUCUAUGGAUCGUAAACCUCUUUUAUAAGGGAAUAAAGUGCGGGACGUGUCCCGUUUUGUAUGUACCUUAUGAAUAAGGAUCGGCUAACUCCGUGCCAGCAGCCGCGGUAAUACGGAGGAUCCGAGCGUUAUCCGGAUUUAUUGGGUUUAAAGGGUGCGUAGGUGGCCUUUUAAGUCAGCGGUGAAAGUCUGUGGCUCAACCAUAGAAUUGCCGUUGAAACUGGGAGGCUUGAGUAUGUUUGAGGCAGGCGGAAUGCGUGGUGUAGCGGUGAAAUGCUUAGAUAUCACGAAGAACCCCGAUUGCGAAGGCAGCCUGCCAAGCCAUGACUGACGCUGAUGCACGAAAGCGUGGGUAUCAAACAGGAUUAGAUACCCUAGUAGUC